RNAcentral lists this ribosomal RNA (669 nucleotides) under uncultured bacterium. Its description in RNAcentral is "bacterial SSU rRNA". It matches the Rfam family "Bacterial small subunit ribosomal RNA", at positions 55 to 707 of the family's 1533-position model. The record is from RNAcentral.
AUGCAAGUUGAACGCUGAAGACUGGUACUUGUACCAGUUGGAUGAGUAGCGCCCUUAAAGAGUCCGCGUGGGUAACCUACCUCUUAGCGGGGGCCUAUUAUUGGAAACGAUAGCUAAUACCGCAUAACAAUACCUAACACAUGUUAAGUAUUUGAAAGCACCAACUGGUGCACUAAGAGAUGGACCCGCGUUGUAUUAGCUAGUUGGGGGGGGGGUGGACUACCAAGGCGAUGAUACAUAGCCGACCUGAGAGGGUGAUCGGCCACAUUGGGACUGAGACACGGCCCAAACUCCUACGGGAGGCAGCAGUAGGGAAUCUUCGGCAAUGGGGGCAACCCUGACCGAGCAACGCCGCGUGAGUGAAGAAGGUUUUCGGAUCGUAAAACUCUGUUGUUAUAGAAGAACGUCAGUGAGAGUGGAAAGUUCACUGAGUGACGGUAUCUAACCAGAAAGGGACGGCUAACUACGUGCCAGCAGCCGCGGUAAUACGUAGGUCCCAAGCGUUGUCCGGAUUUAUUGGGCGUAAAGCGAGCGCAGGUGGUUUAAUAAGUCUGAUGUAAAAGGCAGUGGCUCAUCCAUUGUGUGCAUUGGAAACUGUUAGACUUGAGUGCAGUAGAGGAGAGUGGAAUUCCAUGUGUAGCGGUGAAAUGCGUAGAUAUAUGGAGGAAC